This 499-nucleotide ribosomal RNA is filed under the name uncultured bacterium. Its description in RNAcentral is "partial 16S ribosomal RNA". It matches the Rfam family "Bacterial small subunit ribosomal RNA", at positions 28 to 507 of the family's 1533-position model. The record is from RNAcentral.
GACGAACGCUGGCGGCGUGCCUAAUACAUGCAAGUCGAGCGAAGUUUUUCUGGUGCUUGCCCUAGAAACACUUAGCGGCGAACGGGUGAGUAGCACGUAAAGAACCUGCCUCAUAGACUGGGACAACUAUUGGAAACGAUAGCUAAUACCGGAUAACAGUAUUUCUCGCAUGAGAGAUAUUUAAAAGUUGGUUAUGCUAACACUAUGAGAUGGCUUUGCGGUGCAUUAGCUAGUUGGUGGGGUAAAGGCCCACCAAGGCGACGAUGCAUAGCCGACCUGAGAGGGUGAUCGGCCACACUGGGACUGAGACACGGCCCAGACUCCUACGGGAGGCAGCAGUAGGGAAUCUUCCGCAAUGGGCGAAAGCCUGACGGAGCAACGCCGCGUGAGUGAAGAAGGAUUUCGGUUCGUAAAGCUCUGUUGUUAGGGAAGAAUGGAUAUGUAGUAACUAUACAUGUAAGAGACGGUACCUAACCAGAAAGCCACGGCUAACUACGUG